GACAGAGGGUGCGAGCGUUGUUCGGAAUUACUGGGCGUAAAGCGCGCGCAGGCGGCCCUUUAAGUCCGUCGGUCAAAUGCCGGGGCUCAACCCCGAUGCAUGCCGAGGAUACUGGAGGGCUGGAGACACGUAGAGGCAAGCGGAAUUCCGGGUGUAGCGGUGGAAUGCGUAGAGAUCCGGAAGAACACCGGAGGCGAAGGCGGCUUGCUGGGCGUGAUCUGACGCUGAGGCGCGAAAGCGUGGGGAGCGAACAGG
RNAcentral lists this ribosomal RNA (255 nucleotides) under uncultured bacterium. RNAcentral describes it as "partial 16S ribosomal RNA". It matches the Rfam family "Bacterial small subunit ribosomal RNA", at positions 524 to 776 of the family's 1533-position model. The record is from RNAcentral.